UGCGAGUAGGAACGAAGCUGUUCGAACUCUCGGCUCAGGAUCCCGACCAGGACCUAGGUGGCGCUGUCGUCUACCAGCUCGAUGUAAAGAAUCGGGACUACUUUUACGCGGAGACGGACAGCGAAAAUCGGCUGCAAGUAUUUCUCAAGAAGCAGUUCGACUAUCAAGAGAAGUCCAUCCACGAAGUUAACAUCACAGCAUCGGAUGGAGGGGAUGAGGCCGGUUACGCACCGAUACAUCACACGAGCAUACAGAUUUACGUGGAAGUGAUCGAUGUGCCCAACAAGCCGCCAGUCUUUGUCAACCUGCCGUACUCAGUCGAGAUGCCAGAACAGCUGCCAGUG
Priapulus caudatus is the source of this 344-nucleotide long non-coding RNA. RefSeq lists it as uncharacterized. The record is from RefSeq and is a predicted model, not a curated record. NCBI's taxonomy places the organism in Eukaryota, Metazoa, Priapulida, Priapulimorpha, Priapulimorphida, Priapulidae. The transcript is spliced from 3 exons.